UCUGUGGGAUCAGCCAAAUGAAGAAGACAUAGUCUUUGAAAUUUGCCUGAUAGGAACAAAUGCAGAACACUGGAGUAGAUGAAUUAGGUGGUCUGUUUCAUUCAUAAGAUUCUGGGAUACUGUGGAUACUAAUGAUGCUUUUCAAGAAAGUUGCUUCUCUACAGCUGAUCUGAAUUCUGAAGAUACUUAAAAGCUCAAUGAGUUUGAUAAAUCUUUUAUACGGGAAUAGAAACAUAAGCACAUUUUCUAUAACAUUGGAAUGUGAGAGAUUAAAGAGACAAGAGAAUUAAUGAGGGAUCAAGGGAUGGAAAUCUCUAGGUGACUGAUAGAAGAAAAGAAAGGCUCUGGAAUAUCAUGUCUCAUGAGAAAUAAAAGUCUGGAACCAAACCUGCAGUAUCUCCAAGUGACCGACUGUGACGAGAUGGCAUUGCAUAAAAAAGGCUUCUGAGUGACUGGUGGGAUGUAGUGUGAUUGUUUCUGGAUUGUUAUUUGUGAAUCAACUCAUGAUUUCUUGCUAAAUGAAGGGAUGGAUAUGCAAGGAAUAUGUUUUUUUUUUUUUUCUUGGCUCCAUGAUUCUGCUUAUGAAGCAGUAACUAAAAGUGAAAACUUCAGGAUAAAAUUCAUGUUCAUAUCUGAUCAAAAAUAAACACCUCUCUUAAAUGGGAACAUAAACCAAUUUUAUAUUUUAGCACCUUUUCUGUUAUAACUAAUUUGAUGAGAUGUAAUAGUAAAUUGAAUCGAGUAGUUGAUAUCAUUUUGUCUAUGUCUAUUUCCAAAGAGCUCAAAUAAACUCAAAUAAACUUGUUUCAUAGAAUA
Antechinus flavipes (yellow-footed antechinus) is the source of this 816-nucleotide long non-coding RNA. RefSeq lists it as uncharacterized. NCBI's taxonomy places the organism in Eukaryota, Metazoa, Chordata, Mammalia, Dasyuromorphia, Dasyuridae. The record is from RefSeq and is a predicted model, not a curated record. The transcript is spliced from 4 exons.